GAUGAAGAACGUAGCGAAAUGCGAUACUUGGUGUGAAUUGCAGAAUCCCGUGAACCAUCGAGUCUUUGAACGCAAGUUGCGCCCGAAGCCAUCAGGUUGAGGGCAAGUCUGCCUGGGCGUCACAUAUCGUUGCCCAAUGCCUAUUGCAGUGCAAUAGGAAUUUCUAGGGCGAAUGAUGGCUUCCCGUGAGCGUUGUUGCCUCGCGGUUGGUUGAAAAUCGAGUCCUUGGUAGGGUGUGCCAUGGUAGAUGGUGGUCGAGUUAGAACGAUACCGAUCAUGUGCAUGCUCCCCAAAAUAUGGCCUCUAUGACCCACACGCGUCUUUUGACGCUCAUGACGAGACCUCAGGUCAGGCGGGGCUACCCGCUGAAUUUAAGCAUAUCAAUAAGCGGAGGA
This 395-nucleotide unclassified non-coding RNA is filed under the name soil metagenome. RNAcentral describes it as "partial contains 5.8S ribosomal RNA, internal transcribed spacer 2, and large subunit ribosomal RNA". The stretch from base 1 to 122 matches the Rfam family "5.8S ribosomal RNA", at positions 35 to 154 of the family's 154-position model. The record is from RNAcentral.